GGAAAUGUGCCCGAAAGUUAGGGAUCACUUUGAUAGAGUGAAACAUAUGGGUUCAAACCCCAUCAUCUCCU
This 71-nucleotide transfer RNA is filed under the name Xenopus ruwenzoriensis (Uganda clawed frog). Its description in RNAcentral is "tRNA-Ile". It matches the Rfam family "tRNA". Rfam says of the family: Transfer RNA (tRNA) molecules are approximately 80 nucleotides in length. Their secondary structure includes four short double-helical elements and three loops (D, anti-codon, and T loops). Further hydrogen bonds mediate the characteristic L-shaped molecular structure. tRNAs have two regions of fundamental functional importance: the anti-codon, which is responsible for specific mRNA codon recognition, and the 3' end, to which the tRNAs corresponding amino acid is attached (by aminoacyl-tRNA synthetases). tRNAs cope with the degeneracy of the genetic code in two manners: having more than one tRNA (with a specific anti-codon) for a particular amino acid; and 'wobble' base-pairing, i.e. permitting non-standard base-pairing at the 3rd anti-codon position. Lineage: Eukaryota; Metazoa; Chordata; Amphibia; Anura; Pipidae. RNAcentral also lists the same sequence under 3 other names. The record is from RNAcentral.